RNAcentral lists this long non-coding RNA (671 nucleotides) under Triticum aestivum (bread wheat). RNAcentral describes it as "long non-coding RNA (TAES_LNC002677)". Lineage: Eukaryota; Viridiplantae; Streptophyta; Magnoliopsida; Poales; Poaceae. The record is from RNAcentral.
UUCUCUGCAAGCCAUGAUAGAUGUGCAGCGCUCUGGCGUUCGACUGUUCCAAUGUUCAAAAAUAAAAGGAAAAAAAGUCAAAAGCAGCACUUGAUGAGCUCUCACCGGCUCGAUUCAUGGCCAUGGGGAUUUGCUCGAAUCUACCCACUCACCGGGCCCCUCCUCCGCAGCCAAGGCUGCUCCAUUCCAUUGCUUCUUUUCACCGCUUUAUCUGCACUUUUGUCUUGACCCGGCGCCUGCAAUAAUAAAAAUAAGAAACAAAUAAAUAACCAUACGCAUGGAUAUUUUAUUUUCAAGAUAAGGCUGCAGCUUCUCUGAGCAUUUGCUCAUGCUGAAUGAUUUCUUUUCUUUCUUUUUUUAUAUCUACCAGGUAUGGAUUUCGGGAGGUCAAAUGAGCAGAGGCUGCUGCUGGCCAGGAGCAAGAUGCCCUUCACACCUUCGCAGUGGAUGGAGCUGGAGCACCAGGCCCUCAUAUACAAGUACCUCAACGCGAAGGCCCCCAUACCCUCCGGCCUGCUCAUCUCCAUCAGCAAGAGCUUCAGACCCUCCUCCGAUAGAAGUAAGCAUCCUGCCAAAAAAACAUGUACCCACAUCUCAUUUAUAUUUCACCGAGGUACAAAUGCAACAGAUACGACUGCCUGUAAAUGUGAUGCAGUAAAAGAUCUGUCUUG